CUAUCAACGCCCGGGUAUUACGAGCCUAAGCUUAAAACCCAAAGGACUUGACGGUGUCCCACCCACCUAGAGGAGCCUGUUCUAUAAUCGAUACUCCCCGCUUCACCUCACCAUUUUUAGCCUCUCAGCCUGUAUACCUCCGUCGCAAGCUUACCAUGUGAACGCUCCUAGUAAGCCCAAAGGUUAUUCCACCAAAACGUCAGGUCAAGGUGCAGCUUAUGAAAUGGGAAGCAAUGGGCUACAAUUUCUAAUGCAGAACAAACGAAAGACUACAUGAAACACAGUCAUGAAGGCGGAUUUAGUAGUAAAAAGAAAAUAGUGUGUUCUUUUUAACUAGGCACUGGGACGCGUACACACCGCCCGUCACCCUC
RNAcentral lists this ribosomal RNA (371 nucleotides) under Tomopterna krugerensis. RNAcentral's name for it is "partial 12S ribosomal RNA". It matches the Rfam family "Bacterial small subunit ribosomal RNA", at positions 857 to 1404 of the family's 1533-position model. The record is from RNAcentral. Lineage: Eukaryota; Metazoa; Chordata; Amphibia; Anura; Pyxicephalidae.